UACGGAGGAUCCGAGCGUUAUCCGGAUUUAUUGGGUUUAAAGGGAGCGUAGGUGGAUUGUUAAGUCAGUUGUGAAAGUUUGCGGCUCAACCGUAAAAUUGCAGUUGAAACUGGCAGUCUUGAGUACAGUAGAGGUGGGCGGAAUUCGUGGUGUAGCGGUGAAAUGCUUAGAUAUCACGAAGAACUCCGGUUGCGAAGGCAGCUCACUAGACUGCAACUGACACUGAUGCUCGAAAGUGUGGGUAUCAAACAGG
RNAcentral lists this ribosomal RNA (253 nucleotides) under uncultured bacterium. Its description in RNAcentral is "partial 16S ribosomal RNA". It matches the Rfam family "Bacterial small subunit ribosomal RNA", at positions 524 to 776 of the family's 1533-position model. The record is from RNAcentral.